This 66-nucleotide microRNA precursor is filed under the name Pristionchus pacificus. RNAcentral's name for it is "microRNA ppc-mir-57 precursor". Its record names the gene ppc-mir-57. Lineage: Eukaryota; Metazoa; Nematoda; Chromadorea; Rhabditida; Neodiplogasteridae. The record is from miRBase by way of RNAcentral.
UACCCUGUAGUUCCGAGCCGUGUAUCGCGCAAAUGAUGGCUCAUACACACUCGGUUACCGGGUGCU